CUAUGUUCCAACUUCCUAUAAAUGGGCAGCGUCUUACCAUAUCAGGAAUACUCUGGUAUAAUGAUCUGAAUAAACUUGCAUUUAAACAUAACUAGUCACAAAUUUACGUAACAGUGUAAGUUUAUUUUUUAUAUGAUAUACAUUGAUUUAUUUCAAAUUGUGUAGGAUAUAGUCAAUUGAUAGUUUAAUAAUUGUUGAAUGUAAGUCAAAUUUAAUUUGUUGUUAAAGCACAGGUGCUUGAUUCAUGAUUACGACAAAUUUACGGUUGUAUUCGAGUAUCAAUUUUUAUGCAACAUAAUAACACUACAAAUUAAACUAUACUAUAGCAUGUAUAGCUCUUUGAAAUAAUUAUAAGCAAAUUAAUCAAAUAUUCUACACUUCCUUAUUGGAUUAUUCCAAACUACAACAUAACAAUUUUGCCACUGUAUAAUACAAAUCAACGACAUCUGGUUAAAAAUAUUGUGAACUAUAAAAAAUGAUACUUUUAGCGAAAUUUUAACUCAGAUCAGAAAGUUUUAUUCUAAAUAUUUUCUCAUGAAUCUAAAUAAUCGAGACGUGCUGGAAAGCUUCGUUGAAAUUCGAAAAAGUUUGUGAACAUUAAUACCUUCAGGAAACCAUAUGCGGAAUUACAACCAUGAUUGCUUAUUCUCUAUAAGACUUCUUUGAAUUGUAUUUUUUCAAAAUGAAAUGUGCAAAAUUUACUUUUGACACCCUUCCAGUCGACAAUAAUGUUCGGGACUUUUUAAAACAAAAGAAGUAUUCAUAUAAAACAUUGUAGAAAACAAUAUGUUUUGUUUGUACGGCCCAGAAAUCAGCACUUGUAUGUUAAUAUGAAUUAUCAUUGAUAUGGCCAUAAUUAUCAGCUAUGUUUACGUCAAAACGCCCGGGCGUACACUUGAAUUUUGGUAAAACAAUUAUGUUAAUCUCAAUAAACUAAAAAGAACUGGUUAAAAUUAUAUAAACCUUGUAUAUCUUUCUUCAAUGGCUUGUAUAAUUGCGAAUAAAAGU
RNAcentral lists this long non-coding RNA (1008 nucleotides) under Mytilus galloprovincialis (Mediterranean mussel). Lineage: Eukaryota; Metazoa; Mollusca; Bivalvia; Mytilida; Mytilidae. The record is from RNAcentral.